GUGCCAGCCGCCGCGGUAAUACGGGGGGUGCGAGCGUUGUUCGGAAUCAUUGGGCGUAAAGAGCGCGCAGGCGGCUUGGUGAGUCAGAUGUGAAAGCCCUGGGCUUAACCCAGGAAGUGCAUUUGAUACUGCCUCGCUAGAGUACGGGAGAGGAAAGUGGAAUUCCUGGUGUAGAGGUGAAAUUCGUAGAUAUCAGGAGGAACACCGGUGGCGAAGGCGACUUUCUGGCCCGAUACUGACGCUCAGGCGCGAAAGCGUGGGGAGCAAACAGGAUUAGAUACCCUGGUAGUCCACGCCGUAAACGAUGUUCACUAGGUGUUGGGGGUAUUGACCCUCUCAGUGCCGUAGCUAACGCAUUAAGUGAACCGCCUGGGAAGUACGGUCGCAAGACUAAAACUCAAAGAAAUUGACGG
RNAcentral lists this ribosomal RNA (413 nucleotides) under uncultured bacterium. RNAcentral describes it as "bacterial SSU rRNA". It matches the Rfam family "Bacterial small subunit ribosomal RNA", at positions 505 to 916 of the family's 1533-position model. The record is from RNAcentral.